CCUACGGGCGGCAGCAGUGAGGAAUAUUGGUCAAUGGACGAGAGUCUGAACCAGCCAAGUAGCGUGAAGGAUGACUGCCCUAUGGGUUGUAAACUUCUUUUAUAUGGGAAUAAAAUGUUCCACGUGUGGGAUUUUGUAUGUACCAUAUGAAUAAGGAUCGGCUAACUCCGUGCCAGCAGCCGCGGUAAUACGGAGGAUCCGAGCGUUAUCCGGAUUUAUUGGGUUUAAAGGGAGCGUAGGUGGAUUGUUAAGUCAGUUGUGAAAGUUUGCGGCUCAACCGUAAAAUUGCGGUUGAUACUGGCAGUCUUGAGUACAGUAGAGGUGGGCGGAAUUCGUGGUGUAGCGGUGAAAUGCUUAGAUAUCACGAAGAACUCCGAUUGCGAAGGCAGUUCACUGGACUGCAACUGACACUGAGGCUCGAAAGUGUGGGUAUCAAACAGGAUUAGAUACCCCUGUAGUC
RNAcentral lists this ribosomal RNA (460 nucleotides) under uncultured bacterium. RNAcentral's name for it is "partial 16S ribosomal RNA". It matches the Rfam family "Bacterial small subunit ribosomal RNA", at positions 338 to 795 of the family's 1533-position model. The record is from RNAcentral.